UACGUAGGGUGCAAGCGUUGUCCGGAGUUAUUGGGCGUAAAGAGCUUGUAGGCGGUUUGUCGCGUCUGCUGUGAAAUUUCGGGGCUCAACCCCGAACUUGCAGUGGGUACGGGCAGACUAGAGUGUGGUAGGGGAGACUGGAAUUCCUGGUGUAGCGGUGAAAUGCGCAGAUAUCAGGAGGAACACCGAUGGCGAAGGCAGGUCUCUGGGCCACUACUGACGCUGAGAAGCGAAAGCAUGGGGAGCGAACAGG
This 253-nucleotide ribosomal RNA is filed under the name uncultured bacterium. RNAcentral's name for it is "partial 16S ribosomal RNA". It matches the Rfam family "Bacterial small subunit ribosomal RNA", at positions 524 to 776 of the family's 1533-position model. The record is from RNAcentral.